UACGGGGGGGGCAAGCGUUGUUCGGAAUUACUGGGCGUAAAGGGCUCGUAGGCGGCCAACUAAGUCGGAUGUGAAAUCCCCAGGCUUAACCUGGGAAUUGCAUCCGAUACUGGAUGGCUUGAAUCCGGGAGAGGGAUGCGGAAUUCCAGGUGUAGCGGUGAAAUGCGUAGAUAUCGGAAGGAACAUCAGUGGCGAAAGCGACUUCCUGGACCAAUACUGACGCUCAUGUGCGAAAGCGUGGGGAGCAAACAGG
Molecule: ribosomal RNA, 253 nt
Filed under: uncultured bacterium
Lineage: Bacteria
Description: partial 16S ribosomal RNA
Rfam family: Bacterial small subunit ribosomal RNA
Source: RNAcentral